This 626-nucleotide ribosomal RNA is filed under the name Parageobacillus thermoglucosidasius. RNAcentral's name for it is "bacterial SSU rRNA". It matches the Rfam family "Bacterial small subunit ribosomal RNA", at positions 56 to 663 of the family's 1533-position model. Lineage: Bacteria; Bacillati; Bacillota; Bacilli; Caryophanales; Anoxybacillaceae. The record is from RNAcentral.
UGCAGUCGAGCGGACCGGGCGGGAGCUUGCUUCCGCUUGGUUAGCGGCGGACGGGUGAGUAACACGUGGGUAACCUGCCCGUAAGACCGGGAUAACUCCGGGAAACCGGGGCUAAUACCGGAUAACACCGAAGACCGCAUGGUCUUCGGUUGAAAGGCGGCUUCGGCUGCCACUUACGGAUGGGCCCGCGGCGCAUUAGCUAGUUGGUGAGGUAACGGCUCACCAAGGCGACGAUGCGUAGCCGGCCUGAGAGGGUGACCGGCCACACUGGGACUGAGACACGGCCCAGACUCCUACGGGAGGCAGCAGUAGGGAAUCUUCCGCAAUGGACGAAAGUCUGACGGAGCGACGCCGCGUGAGCGAAGAAGGUCUUCGGAUCGUAAAGCUCUGUUGUUAGGGAAGAAGAAGUGCCGUUCGAACAGGGCGGCACGGUGACGGUACCUAACGAGAAAGCCCCGGCUAACUACGUGCCAGCAGCCGCGGUAAUACGUAGGGGGCGAGCGUUGUCCGGAAUUAUUGGGCGUAAAGCGCGCGCAGGCGGUCCCUUAAGUCUGAUGUGAAAGCCCACGGCUUAACCGUGGAGGGUCAUUGGAAACUGGGGGACUUGAGUGCAGAAGAGGAGAGCG